This is a non-coding RNA of Lolium perenne, 1148 nucleotides long. NCBI's taxonomy places the organism in Eukaryota, Viridiplantae, Streptophyta, Magnoliopsida, Poales, Poaceae. The record is from RefSeq and is a predicted model, not a curated record.
UCAGUUUAGAUCGACUUCUUCCUCUCCUCCUAGGAAUGGCUCUCUGUUUGGUGGAAUAGGAAGGGAGCAAGUAGGAAACUGUGAAAAUAAUUCAGGUCUGAUCCUCCACGUCAAGCACCAGGCAACAAGGUUGCCCUCUCAGUUCUUCUGUUAGCCGCUCCUAGAUAAGGCCUUCAAGACCCAAGUAUUUCUCUCACAUACUCAGUCCCUCUGUUUGUUUUCUUGAGGUGAGGUCUUGAAGCCCCUCUUUUGUUCGUAUGUUCUUGCAUCCAGUUAUGCAAGAGCUAUGAGCAUAUUUGCCUUUGCCUCCGGCUUCUCCAUGUACUCCUUCAACAUAUGUUAUGAUCAGAAGCAACAUUUGUACAUGCCCCGUUCCAGAAUAUGCAGAGAAGAUGAUCGCUGCAAUUGAUGAAGUACGAGUUGAUAGAAAUUAGAUUGGUGGGACGGUCACAUGUAUUGAGAGAAAUGUUCCUCGUGCUCGGGAAUGAUAUACAAUUAUGUUGGGUACUUGCUGUGGGAUUUUUCACCUUUCGUGUACCUGUGUUAGGUAAGUCUUGGAGCGAGUAGUGGAUGGCGUGGAUGGUUGUGGCUGAUGGCGUGGAUGGCCACGACAGAGUCGACGGUGGAGGCGGCCGCUAGCUCAGGGUGUCACGUCCAUGGUCAUCCUGUCUGCUGUUUGCAGCACGGAUGUCGUAGAUGGCGUGUAGGCCAACCUUGACCAGCAACGUAGGUGCAGGUCAUUUCCCCGUAAUGGCAACAGUGGCGACGGAGAGGUACAGUCGCCGCCGUGGACUGCUGCAGAUGGCGCUUUGCCUUGGGAUGGUGAUGCUGCUUCCCCUGUGGGACGGGGUAUGUUAACCGAGUGUGUGUUUUUGUCAUCACUGUACUUAUGCAGAGUGUUCAUCUAAAAGGAGCUCACUCAUGAACUUAGAACUUUCUCAACUCCAGAAUACUACUUUUCUUUUAGGGAAAACUGCAGAAAGUUGGCAUAUAAAUGGGAGCAUGUUCGAAUGCUUUUACCUCCUUAAUCAGUCCAUGCAAUAAUUCUUACAUUUGGAUGCAAAGUUAGCGAUGUAUCAUGAGUACCAUGAUAAUGUUCGUUUACAAAAGCAGUUUAGUUUGUUUUGGAAAAAAAACUUGUACACGUG